ACUUGAGUAGCUUAAGUUUAAAGCCUAAUAUUGAAGCUAUUAUAAUAAGAAUUAUUCUUCUCAAGUA
Molecule: transfer RNA, 67 nt
Filed under: Aeschyntelus notatus
Lineage: Eukaryota; Metazoa; Arthropoda; Insecta; Hemiptera; Rhopalidae
Also listed under: 1 other name
Description: tRNA-Phe
Source: RNAcentral